Molecule: transfer RNA, 72 nt
Filed under: Bos taurus (domestic cattle)
Lineage: Eukaryota; Metazoa; Chordata; Mammalia; Artiodactyla; Bovidae
Also listed under: 4 other names
Rfam family: tRNA
About the family: Transfer RNA (tRNA) molecules are approximately 80 nucleotides in length. Their secondary structure includes four short double-helical elements and three loops (D, anti-codon, and T loops). Further hydrogen bonds mediate the characteristic L-shaped molecular structure. tRNAs have two regions of fundamental functional importance: the anti-codon, which is responsible for specific mRNA codon recognition, and the 3' end, to which the tRNAs corresponding amino acid is attached (by aminoacyl-tRNA synthetases). tRNAs cope with the degeneracy of the genetic code in two manners: having more than one tRNA (with a specific anti-codon) for a particular amino acid; and 'wobble' base-pairing, i.e. permitting non-standard base-pairing at the 3rd anti-codon position.
Source: Rfam by way of RNAcentral
UCUUUACCGUCUGAGCCAGUAAAGAUUCUGCCUGCAAUGCAGGAGACCUGGGUUCAAUCCCUGGGUUGGGAA